UAUUUUUACGAAAAACGUAAACGUCUGUUAUAAUGAAAUUCUGAUCUAUUUGUAUAAUUAAUUACCAACCUUCGAUGAUCACUCUUUUCGAUAUUCCCACAAUCGGCACAAUUGCCCAAACCCACCGCGAUUACUCUAUGAUAGUAUCGUUAUAUACGUAUUAUUUUGAAGUUAAUACUGCGAUAUGUCAUCAUUUGAAAUGUAGUCUGUAACACACGUUCCCAGCGCACGCGUUAUUCCGUGCACGACAACGUUUAUAAUAUUCAGAUCACGAAACACAAUCGAAAUGUUCAAAUACGUAUAUUUGGUCGUUUGCGUAUUGUGUCUACUGUACAUGCUAGCUGCUGUUUAUGUGCUAUUUAACGAUUUGAUAUUUAAUCCAUUGUAUAGUUAUCUGUUCAACCGAGGUUAGGGUAUUUCUAUUGCAAACGCCCGACGUCUUCAAACCGUCCACAUAAAGUUUUAUUAUUAUUGGGGUGUAGAUGUCGGUCUUGUACCGCGCCCGAUGGACGUAACCAUUAUUUUCAUCAUGAACCAUGCCCAAGUAUCCGAAGUUCGGAUUCCGAAUAGACUUCGCUCCAACUGUUGGAGUCCAACACAAGGGACAAAAGAACAAUUCUGACAGUUAAACUUCGUGUAUGCCCAACUAAUAAUAUUACUAAAAACCGUUAAGGACUUCUAUGUAUUUUUUGCCCUUCCCUAAUAAUUUGACGUGGGCGCUCAUGUCAAACACUAGCUGUCAACACCACGAUUUAAGAUAUACAAAUGUAUGUACAUAUAUAUAUCUUAAAUCGUGAUCAACACUAAAGUAGAAAAUAGUUUUGCAAUUUAACAUGGAUUGAAACUGGAUUUCGAAUUAUUCAAAAAGAAGAAAAUCGACUGUCUAACAAAAAUGGCAGCAAACAGUUAUCCAGUUACAAAUAUCCACAUAUGACUAUUGUCAAUGUUACAUCAAUGUACAAUCUUUAUUAUUAUACAUUUUAUUUUUAUAUUGCUGUUAAAUUAACACAAAACUAUAACUUUUAGUUAAUUAUUGACGCAAUAAAUGUAAAUAUUAUUAUAAUAGUUUUUUUUUUUUUUUUAAGUAAAUCAUAUUUUAUAAUUUUAUAUUAAUCCUUGUGAUUUAUUUGUAAGUUGUGAAUACAUCAAAAAUGAAAUCUAUAUUGUAAUACUAUAAAAAAUAUUUAUCCAACACUUGACAGUAUAACUGGUCAGAAAUCAGAGUAGGUAGGAAAUAAUAGUAUAAUGUGAAAAUAUUUUACUUGUUACUAUAUCUUUUAAAAGGUAGAAAUAAAUAAUCAAAUUCAAAAA
This is a long non-coding RNA of Aphis gossypii (cotton aphid), 1311 nucleotides long. RefSeq lists it as uncharacterized. The record is from RefSeq and is a predicted model, not a curated record. The transcript has 5 exons. NCBI's taxonomy places the organism in Eukaryota, Metazoa, Arthropoda, Insecta, Hemiptera, Aphididae.